Molecule: long non-coding RNA, 289 nt
Filed under: Homo sapiens (human)
Lineage: Eukaryota; Metazoa; Chordata; Mammalia; Primates; Hominidae
Description: non-protein coding lnc-LIPC-6:1
Source: RNAcentral
AUCGCAAUUACCUUAGGCAUAUACUUCACCCUCCUACAAGUUUCAGAAUAUUCCAAGGCCCCUUUUACUAUCUCUGAUGGAAUUUAUGGCUCAACAUUCUUUAUAGCCACAGGCUUUCAUGGACUUCACAUCAUUAUUCGGUCAACAUUUCUCACUAUCUGCCUCCUCUGCCAACUAAAAUUUCACUUUACAUCUAACCACCACUUUGGCUUUGAAGCCGCUGCCUGAUAUUGACACUUCAUAGAUAUAGUAAGACUAUUCUUAUAUGUCUCUAUCUACUGAUGAGGAU